RNAcentral lists this long non-coding RNA (3358 nucleotides) under Homo sapiens (human). RNAcentral describes it as "HSALNT0041467". The record is from RNAcentral. Lineage: Eukaryota; Metazoa; Chordata; Mammalia; Primates; Hominidae.
AGAACCAGCCCUUUUCUUACGCAGCUGGGAGCCUUGGGAGGACUACUCAGAUGAUAGGAACCAGUGGUUGAAAAAGAAAGAGAAACAAGAUGAAAGGAUUCGUGACUUUUCUGGGAAGUAUAAAAAGCUAUUUUGUGCCUCUUCUUUAUUUAGUUGCCAAUAGAUUGUUUUAUUUAUCUAUCUUGUUGUGUGAUAAAAUGCGAUAUGGGAGUAAUUGUUUUUCUUGUGUGUGCAUGCAUGUACGUAUUUCUAUUUUGAUGAAGUGCUGACCCUGCUGAUUCAGAAUACCUUUAAGUUUUACAAAGAUUUUGUUUUCUCCUGGCUUCCUCUUGCAUACACAAAGGCAGUAAUAGAGUGUCAUUUAAAUAAUAUGCCUUGGUUAGAACACAGCAAACUAGUUAAGAGAAACAUUUUAGAGGUUGACCUAAAAUACAUUAACUUUGAAAUAAAUAUACAUCUGGUAUAAAGAAUGAAUUUUACCAAAUAUGCAUAUCAGUUAUACCAACAGAUACCAUUUUGGGAAGAUACGUAUUCUGGUUUUAAAAAUAUUUUAGUUUGAGUUCAGUUGUAUUAUAGCUUACAUAAUACUAAUUAGAUGCUGGCUCAGAACUAUGUGUUAGUCAAAAAUUUUGGCUAGGUUCUCAUGAAAUAUCUGAAAGGCUAAAGAACAAUGUAAUUAUGCAUACAUUUAAAAUUUUGAAAGAAACAUCCCAUGUGCUACCUGACAGUGAAAUUGUCCCUGAUGAUAAGGAGAAAGGAUAAGAAGAUGCUGGGGACUGCCCGGUUCAGAGUGGACAUACUCAGGCCUAAUUCCUUAAAUAUUCAACUGAACUAGAUGAUGCUCUAUGAUCUAUAAGCUCUCUGUGCCUUGGUUUCUAAUAGAACAAAAUGUAGGGAGCAUCAAUCUCAUAAAUAUUUCUUUUCUUUCUUCUUUUUUUUUUAUAAACUGAAUGGAGAUUCCUGUGCAGUAGACUAUAUCAUAAAUGCUGGCAUUAGAAGAUUAGAAAAACUCCUGUCUUAUAAACUAUUUUAUAUUGGGUAUUUACUAUUUAUAGCUAACGGAUUUCUAAAUAUAUGAUUUGACCUGCUACAUUUAAACUAAGUAAUAAAAUACGUGUCAAAUAAUCCAAGUUAAUAUCCAAAGUCAUGACAUUAUCAAAGUUACAGUUUUUUCUUAAUCUGUCAAGAAUUUCAGUGCUAAAUUGACCUUAAUUUUUUAAAAAAAUAAUAUUUAGGUAACUUUCUGAUUACUCAAAAUAGUUCAGAACUGUAACUCAUGCUCCUGUGUGUGUGUGAUUUUUCUGCCUGUGCACUCUAUAACUGUGACUUGCUCAAGGGUGCUAAGAAGAGAGAAGCUGAUGUGGCUGAUGUUGGAAGGUGAUGAAUUCAUCCAUGGUAAAAGAAAUAUCCCUUAAGGCAGGGGUCUCCAACCCCUGGACCAUGGACAGAUCAGUGGCAGCAUCAGAUUCUCACAGGAGCAUGAACCCCACGGUGAACUCCACAUGCAAGGGAUGUAGUUGCGUGCUCCCUAUGAGAACCUAAUGCUUGAUGAUCCGAGGUAGAACAGUUUCAUCCCAAAACCAUUCCCCUGCCUCCGUAGAAAUAUUGUCUUCCACGAAACUAGGCCCUGGUGCCAAAAAGGUUGGGGCCUGCUGCCUUAGGGCAUGUCCUGUUACCAGCUUCCAGUUGCCCUUGAAGUGGUCUUCAUUAUCCUGGCUUUCUCUCCUCAGCCUCUUCUUCCUGCUGGACUUCCUACGGGCCUAUCCCUCACUGGCUCUGGGUCCUGGGCCUCUACCCAGGCCUGAGUCCAUGUGCUCAGAAAAGGUGUGGUUUCAUCCUUCUGGAGUACUGGUGUUCAUGUGACUGUCCUUUGAAAGAACAGGGCAAGAGUCAUCUGUUUUCUAUUAAACUUUAAUGACAUUUGAUACACACAAGACACUGAGAGAGGGGCAGAGAAAACUGGAUGUGCAGAUAAAAUGGAGACCAAAGUAGUACAUCAGGAGAGAUGUGAAGAUAUCCCAGUUUUACCCAGUAUCCCUGAAAGAAAAAGCUUCCUCUCACCUGUUUUGACUGUACGUGUGGCUGUGCUCUCUGGCUUCAGAAUUGCUUCUAUAGGAAGAAAUUAAUCAUCGAUUAUUCUACUAAAAUAGAUGAGAAAAUGAACGUGUGUGAAUCGAAAGACCCAUCCUGCCUUAACAAUUUUGGCACAGGCUGGCUGAGAGACUGAGAUAACACAGAGGACUGUUUCCUACAAGAAAGACACAUGUUUCCAGAUUGAGAUUCCAGGGAGGGCAUCCAGUUCCAAGGAUAACAGUGAUGGGGCUGAAUUUGAGACUGGGGUUGCUAUGGAAACAUCCCAGGCAGGUUGGCUAGUGUGGGGAGCAAGGACCGCUGUACACAAGCACCUCUGAAGACUGUCAGGAGUUUUCUAUGAAAAUUGGACUUCCUGCAGUUGUGUAGGUGAGAGAUUGGAAAUAUUGAGGUUCAGCUAUCCAUAUCAAAGAACCGAAUUUUCUCUCACUGGCUGGCAUGAUUUCUGUUAGAAUCUCCAAGACUAAAAGAAUGAGUAGACUGCCUUGAAUGUAAUGAGCCCCCCAUGAUGUAAUACUACUUGUGAGUAGUAUUUAAGGAGAGACCAGAUGGCUUUAUGUCUGUGUAUGUUCAUAUUCCACUAGAAAGCCUGCAUAUGUGUAUGCGUUGCAAAUUGUAAAACAAGUUCUGCAAUAUAAGUGCUAUUAUCACUAGGUAUGUGUAUGUUUCUGCUAUGCAUGUAUGUGGGAAGUCUCGCUGCAUGAGGGCUGACUUUCAAAGUCUCCUUUGCAACUCUUAAGAAUCUGUGGAUUUAUCAAAAUAAAAUAGGCAAUUUUAAUAAAUAAAAAAUCAUGUUCUAAUGGGGAGAUGUUGGUCAAAGAGUACAAACUUUCAGUUAUAAAAGGCAUAAUUUCUGGGGUGUAAUGUACAGCAUGAUAACUAUAGUUAAUACUGUAUUGUAUUGACAUUUGCUAAGAGAGUAGAUAUUAAAUGUUCUCACCACACACAUAUACUUAUGUGAGGUAAUGGAUGUGUGAACUAAGUUGUCUGUAGUAAUAAUUUCACAAUAUAUAUGUAUAUCAAAUCAUCACAUUUUACAUCUUAAAUUUAUACAGUUUUAUUUGUCAAUUAUACCUCAAUAAAGCUGGAAAAAGAUGUCACAGGAGCAGACUUGAUAAACGAUCACAGCUCGAAAAUAAGCAGAUUGAUGUCUGCUCUCUUCCAGGAAGAAAGUUUUAUAGAUCUCUUAUGUCUGCAAAUGGUUAAUAAAUGUUCUUAAAUAAUCCAGGACAAACUAUUUUUUGAUACAAUCUUAGAUUGAAAAGUU